CGGCAGGCUUAACACAUGCAAGUCGAGGGGUAACAGGGAGUGCUUGCACUCCGCUGACGACCGGCGAACGGGUGCGUAACGCGUAUGCAACUUGCCUUCUACAGGGGAAUAGCCCAGAGAAAUUUGGAAUAAUACCCCAUAAGGUCAUUUAAUGGCAUCAUUAAAUGAAGAAAACUCCGGUGGUAGAAGAUGGGCAUGCGUCCUAUUAGUUAGUUGGUAAGGUAACGGCUUACCAAGACAUCGAUAGGUAGGGGUCCUGAGAGGGAGAUCCCCCACACUGGUACUGAGACACGGACCAGACUCCUACGGGAGGCAGCAGUGAGGAAUAUUGGACAAUGGAGGCAACUCUGAUCCAGCCAUGCCGCGUGCAGGAAGACGGCCCUACGGGUUGUAAACUGCUUUUAUACAGGAAGAAUUGUACCUACGUGUAGGUACUUGACGGUACUGUAAGAAUAAGGAUCGGCUAACUCCG
RNAcentral lists this ribosomal RNA (472 nucleotides) under uncultured Flavobacteriaceae bacterium. RNAcentral's name for it is "bacterial SSU rRNA". It matches the Rfam family "Bacterial small subunit ribosomal RNA", at positions 40 to 505 of the family's 1533-position model. Lineage: Bacteria; Pseudomonadati; Bacteroidota; Flavobacteriia; Flavobacteriales; Flavobacteriaceae. The record is from RNAcentral.